Molecule: long non-coding RNA, 916 nt
Organism: Pongo pygmaeus (Bornean orangutan)
Lineage: Eukaryota; Metazoa; Chordata; Mammalia; Primates; Hominidae
Exons: 3
Source: RefSeq, a predicted model, not a curated record
GUGAGAUCACAAGGUCAGGAGCUGAGAUCCAGUCCUGGCCAACAUCCAGCAAGAGAGCAGGAUCUCAGUCCAACAGCAGUAUGGAAUGGAACUUAAUUCUGACAACCACUUAGCUAUUUCCAAUAAUGAUUAAAAAAAAGUGAAAGAAGACACUACAAAAUGAAGAGAAAGGCAGAGAAGGGUAAAAAUAAAUGCAGAAACCAAAAAGAGGGACUGAAACUGUCUUUGUGAGACUAAUGAAACACCAGAAGACUAGGAUUAUGGGAAAGGCCUAAAUUCUAGGAUGUAGUUAAACAGUAACCAGCCAUUGUUCUCUAGCUUGACUCUCAUAAUUCCGUAAUGCUUAAGAGUCAUGCAGCCAGAAAUCACAGGAUUUAUAACUUCCAUAAUUCCUCCUAUAGAUAACAAUACAUUGUCAAAACCCAAGCUUGGUCUUUGAGACAUUUUGCAGACUUUUUAGUUAUGACUGACUCCACCAGGACUAAUGACUCAUAUCAAGGAACUGACUCAACUGGUGACCCCAACCCGGGAACUGACAGCAUGCUCAGACAGUAUGGACACUCCUGUGAUUUCAUGGCUAACCAAUCAGCAGCACCCAUUCCCAAUUCAUGUCUGUCAAAUUAUCCUUAAAAAUCCUGAUUUUCAAGCUCUCAAAGAAGUGGAUUUCAGAAAUGUCUCUUGUUCUUCCUCUUGGCCAGCCCUGUGAUAAUUAGUUUCUUUGCUGCAAACCUGCUGUCCUCAGUGCAUUAGCUUUUUCUGGAUAGCAGGCAAGAAGAAUCCAUUGAGCUCUUACAAAAUUCAACAUUUAUUCACAGUUUAAAGAAAUCUGUAGAAGAAUAAUUGCAAAGGAAAUACAAAUUAUGUCAAUAACCAACUCCAUGCUUAAUCAUAAUCAAUAAAAACUUUCUCACAAAUG